RNAcentral lists this ribosomal RNA (493 nucleotides) under uncultured bacterium. Its description in RNAcentral is "partial 16S ribosomal RNA". It matches the Rfam family "Bacterial small subunit ribosomal RNA", at positions 28 to 506 of the family's 1533-position model. The record is from RNAcentral.
GACGAACGCUGGCGGCGUGCUUAACACAUGCAAGUCGAACGGUGAAGCGCCUUCCUUUUUGGUGGGUGUGGAUGAGUGGCGAACGGGUGAGUAACACGUGAGUAACCUGCCCCCUUCUUCUGGAUAACCGCAUGAAAGUGUGGCUAAUACGGGAUAUUCUGGGUCUGUCGCAUGAUGGGUCUGGGAAAGAUAUUGUUUCGGUGGGGGAUGGGCUCGCGGCCUAUCAGCUUGUUGGUGGGGUGAUGGCCUACCAAGGCGGUGACGGGUAGCCGGCCUGAGAGGGUGGUGGGCGACACUGGAGAUGAGCCACGGCCCAGCCCCAGCGGGGAGGGGGCGGGGGGGAAUAUGGAACAAGGGGGGCAGGUGUGAGGCGGCGGCGCCGGGUGGGGGAGGGGGGCCUUGGGGUGGGGAAGCUCUUUGGCCGGUGAAGAGGGCCGGCCUUGUUUUUGGGUGGGUGGAGGGGAGCUGGAGAAGAAGCGGCGGCGAAUUGCGU